This 121-nucleotide small nucleolar RNA is filed under the name Echinops telfairi (small Madagascar hedgehog). Its description in RNAcentral is "Small nucleolar RNA SNORA61 (ENSETEG00000026897.1)". The record is from RNAcentral. Lineage: Eukaryota; Metazoa; Chordata; Mammalia; Afrosoricida; Tenrecidae.
UCCCUCCAGGUUCCUGACUCCUCAGAUCUGCAUUGUGGUCUGAGGGGCUAAAAGAGGAGGAAAAGUAAAACUGAAGUGGACCUGGAGUCUUUAGUGACAUACAAGUUCAUUUCCAACACAA